This 497-nucleotide ribosomal RNA is filed under the name uncultured bacterium. RNAcentral describes it as "partial 16S ribosomal RNA". It matches the Rfam family "Bacterial small subunit ribosomal RNA", at positions 28 to 507 of the family's 1533-position model. The record is from RNAcentral.
GACGAACGCUGGCGGCGUGCCUAAUACAUGCAAGUUGAGCGCUGAAGGUUGGUAUUUGUACCAACUUGAUGAUCAGCGAACGGGUGAGUAACGCGUGGGGAAUCUGCCUUUUAGCGGGGGACAACAUAUGGAAACGAGUGCUAAUACCGCAUAAAAACUUUAAACACAAGUUUUAAGUUUUAAAGAUGCAAUUGCAUCACUCAAAGAUGAUCCCGCGUUGUAUUAGCUAGUUGGUGAGGUAAAGGCUCACCAAGGCGAUGAGACAUAGCCGACCUGAGAGGGUGAUCGGCCACAUUGGGAAUGAGACACGGCCCAAACUCCUACGGGCGGCAGCAGUAGGGAAUCUUCGGCAAUGGACGAAAGUCUGACCGAGCAACGACGCGUGAGUGAAGAAGGUUGUCGGAUCGUAAAACUCUGUUGGUAGAGAAGAACGUUGGUGAGAGUGGAAAGCUAAUCAAGUGACGGUAACUACACAGAAAGGGACGGCUAACUACGUG